GAUCCUGGCUCAGAUUGAACGCUGGCGGCAGGCCUAACACAUGCAAGUCGAGCGGAUGAAGAGAGCUUGCUCUCUGAUUCAGCGGCGGACGGGUGAGUAAUGCCUAGGAAUCUGCCUGAUAGUGGGGGACAACGUUUCGAAAGGAACGCUAAUACCGCAUACGUCCUACGGGAGAAAGCAGGGGACCUUCGGGCCGUUGCGCUAUCAGAUGAGCCUAGGUCGGAUUAGCUAGUUGG
RNAcentral lists this ribosomal RNA (236 nucleotides) under uncultured bacterium. RNAcentral describes it as "partial 16S ribosomal RNA". It matches the Rfam family "Bacterial small subunit ribosomal RNA", at positions 15 to 252 of the family's 1533-position model. The record is from RNAcentral.